GACGAACGCUGGCGGCGUGCUUAACACAUGCAAGUCGAACGGCAAGGCCCUGCUUUUGUGGGGUGCUCGAGUGGCGAACGGGUGAGUAACACGUGAGUAACCUGCCCUUGACUUUGGGAUAACUUCAGGAAACUGGGGCUAAUACCGGAUAGGAGCUCCUGCUGCAUGGUGGGGGUGGGAAAGUUUCGGCGGUUGGGGAUGGACUCGCGGCUUAUCAGCUUGUUGGUGGGGUAGUGGCUUACCAAGGGUUUGACGGGUAGCCGGCCUGUGAGGGUGGCCGGCCACAUUGGGACUGAGAUACGGCCCAGACUCCUACGGGAGGCAGCAGUGGGGAAUAUUGCACAAUGGGCGGAAGCCUGAUGCAGCAACGCCGCGUGCGGGAUGACGGCCUUCGGGUUGUAAACCGCUUUCGCCUGUGACGAAGCGUGAGUGACGGUAAUGGGUAAAGAAGCACCGGCUAACUACGUG
RNAcentral lists this ribosomal RNA (468 nucleotides) under uncultured bacterium. RNAcentral's name for it is "partial 16S ribosomal RNA". It matches the Rfam family "Bacterial small subunit ribosomal RNA", at positions 28 to 507 of the family's 1533-position model. The record is from RNAcentral.